ACUCCUACGGGAGGCAGCAGUGGGGAAUAUUGCACAAUGGGGAAACCCUGAUGCAGCCAUGCCGCGUGUGUGAAGAAGGCCUUCGGUUGUAAAGCACUUUCAGUAGGGAGGAAGGUAGUGUAGUUAACACCUGCAUUAUUUGACGUUACCUACAGAAGAAGCACCGGCUAACUCCGUGCCAGCAGCCGCGGUAAUACGGAGGGGUGCGAGCGUUAAUCGGAAUUACUGGGCGUAAAGCGCAUGCAGGCGGCCUGUUAAGUCAGAUGUGAAAGCCCGGGGGCUUAACCUCGGAAUUGCAUUUGAAACUGGCAGGCUAGAGUCUUGUAGAGGGGGUAGAAUUUCAGGUGUAGCGGUGAAAUGCGUAGAGAUCUGAAGGAAUACCAGUGGCGAAGGCGGCCCCCUGGACAAAGACUGACGCUCAGAUGCGAAAGCGUGGGGAGCGAAACAGGAUUAGAUACCCUGGUAGCACAGAG
RNAcentral lists this ribosomal RNA (473 nucleotides) under uncultured bacterium. Its description in RNAcentral is "bacterial SSU rRNA". It matches the Rfam family "Bacterial small subunit ribosomal RNA", at positions 335 to 799 of the family's 1533-position model. The record is from RNAcentral.